Molecule: ribosomal RNA, 520 nt
Filed under: uncultured Glomus
Lineage: Eukaryota; Fungi; Glomeromycota; Glomeromycetes; Glomerales; Glomeraceae
Description: SSU rRNA
Rfam family: Eukaryotic small subunit ribosomal RNA
Source: RNAcentral
AGCAGCCGCGGUAAUUCCAGCUCCAAUAGCGUAUAUUAAAGUUGUUGCAGUUAAAAAGCUCGUAGUUGAAUUUCGGGAUCAGCAGGUCGGUCGUGCCACUGGUAUGCACUGGCCUUGCUGAUUCCUCCCUCUUGAUGAGCCGUAAUGCCAUUAAUUUGGUGUUGCGGGGAAUCAGGACUGUUACUUUGAAAAAAUUUAGAGUGUUUAAAGCAGGCAUGCGCUUGAAUACAUUAGCAUGGAAUAAUGAAAUAGGACGUUCGAUCCUAUUUUGUUGGUUUCUAGGAUUGACGUAAUGGUUAAUAGGGAUAGUUGGGGGCAUUAGUAUUCAAUUGUCAGAGGUGAAAUUCUUGGAUUUAUUGAAGACUAACUACUGCGAAAGCAUUUGCCAAGGAUGUUUUCAUUAAUCAAGAACGAAAGUUAGGGGAUCGAAGACGAUCAGAUACCGUCGUAGUCUUAACCAUAAACUAUGCCGACUAGGGAUCGGAUGAUGUUAAUUUUUUAAUGACUCAUUCGGCGCCUU